CAAAAUCUGUGGAAGUCCUGGCGACAUUUUAAAUGGAUGGGCCAACGUGUCAAGCAAUGUGUUUGGUGGCAAGGUGACCUUUCACUGUAAUACGGGGUACUUGAUGGUGGGCAGGGCGCUCCGUCUGUGUGAAGCGCAGGGUUGGUCAGGCCAAGUGCCAAACUGUAAUGCUGUGAAGUGUGUUGCACCUCCAGCGAUCGAGAGAGGGAGUGUGUCCGACCUGUUUGAAGGAGACUUUUGGGAAUACGGAAUGGUGGCCGCAUACUCCUGCCAUUCUCCCUACACCUUGAUCGGGGAAAAGGAGAUUGCCUGUUCAGCCUCCGGAAACUGG
Amblyraja radiata (thorny skate) is the source of this 331-nucleotide long non-coding RNA. RefSeq lists it as uncharacterized. The record is from RefSeq and is a predicted model, not a curated record. The transcript is spliced from 3 exons. Lineage: Eukaryota; Metazoa; Chordata; Chondrichthyes; Rajiformes; Rajidae.